UGUCUGUAACUGACGUGAGGCGGAAAGCGUGGGAGCAAACAGGAUUAGAUACCCUGGUAGUCCACGCUGUAAACGAUGAGUGCUAAGUGUUAGAGGUUUCCGCCCUUUAGUGCUGAAGUUAACGCAUUAAGCACUCCGCUGGGGAGUACGGUCGCAAGACUGAAAUCAAAGGAAUUGACGGGGGCCCGCACAAGUGGUGGAGCAUGUGGUUUAAUUCGAAGCAACGCGAAGAACCUUACCAGGUCUUGACAUCCUCUGACAACCCUAGAGAUAGGGCUUUCCCUUCGGGGACAGAGUGACAGGUGGUGCAUGGUUGUCGUCAGCUCGUGUCGUGAGAUGUUGGGUUAAGUCCCGCAACGAGCGCAACCCUUGAUCUUAGUUGCCAGCAUUCAGUUGGGCACUCUAAGGUGACUGCCGGUGACAAACCGGAGGAAGGUGGGGAUGACGUCAAAUCAUCAUGCCCCUUAUGACCUGGGCUACACACGUGCUACAAUGGAUAGUACAAAGGGUUGCAAGACCGCGAGGUGGAGCUAAUCCCAUAAAACUAUUCUCAGUUCGGAUUGUAGGCUGCAACUCGCCUACAUGAAGCCGGAAUCACUAGUAAUCGCGGAUCAGCAUGCCGCGGUGAAUACGUUCCCGGGCCUUGUACACACCGCCCGUCACACCACGAGAGUUUGUAACACCCGAAGUCGGUGGGGUAACCUUUUAGGGGCCAGCCGCCUAG
Molecule: ribosomal RNA, 724 nt
Filed under: Gottfriedia luciferensis
Lineage: Bacteria; Bacillati; Bacillota; Bacilli; Caryophanales; Bacillaceae
Description: bacterial SSU rRNA
Rfam family: Bacterial small subunit ribosomal RNA
Source: RNAcentral